UGGGGAAUCUUGGACAAUGGGGGCAACCCUGAUCCAGCCAUGCCGCGUGAGUGAUGAAGGCCUUAGGGUCGUAAAGCUCUUUCGCCUGUGAAGAUAAUGACGGUAGCAGGUAAAGAAACCCCGGCUAACUCCGUGCCAGCAGCCGCGGUAAUACGGAGGGGGUUAGCGUUGUUCGGAAUUACUGGGCGUAAAGCGCACGUAGGCGGACCAGAAAGUUGGGGGUGAAAUCCCGGGGGCUCAACCCCGGAACUGCCUCCAAAACUAUUGGUCUAGAGUUCGAGAGAGGUGAGUGGAAUUCCAAGUGUAGAGGUGAAAUUCGUAGAUAUUUGGAGGAACACCAGUGGCGAAGGCGGCUCACUGGCUCGAUACUGACGCUGAGGUGCGAAAGUGUGGGGAGCAAACAGGAUUAGAUACCCUGGGUAGUCCACGCCGUAAAACGAUGAGUGCUAG
Molecule: ribosomal RNA, 450 nt
Filed under: uncultured bacterium
Lineage: Bacteria
Description: bacterial SSU rRNA
Rfam family: Bacterial small subunit ribosomal RNA
Source: RNAcentral